UGAAGGAAGGGGCGAUUCGGGCUAAAGAAUAACGCAUUUAGAAAGAAGAACAUCACUUAGUUUUCUCCAUAAAAAGUUUUCUUUGGCAUGGUCGACAGGUUUAAUUUUCUUAAGCAGAGAAGAGAAAGAAGGUGUUGGCUUCAAGAACCACGUCAUACAGGAUGUUUAUCUACAUACAAAUUGCCUUGUACCGUUGGCUAACAUGGUGUCAUAUGUGCAUUGGCUAAGCUCAUAUGCCUCGCAAUACUCAUAUAGCCUUUUUGAAAUCUUGCCAUGCAAGUAGAGAUCUCCCUCGUCAUUUUUGUGUCAUGUGAGCCCUAACUUUUAUUCAUUCCCAAGCCUUUCAUUUCUUCUUAAAUUCAGAUAUUCAAAACUAGCAGAGCUGAAGAACGAUUAAAUGCAAGCCUAAGGACGACGAUAAACUUCCUGAAGUUAUGUAAGCAGAAGUGUAGAUAUAUACCAAAUUUCUCAUGAACAUUUUGGAAAUACUCAAUACGAUACUAACAUAGGUGUUGCUAAGGAACCCAGAGAAUAAUAUUGAAGGAGCAAAUAAAGAACUACUAAUCUCCAGAAAAUGGAAGUGCUUUGGUAGAUCCAUUUAUGCUUGUGAUGAACAAAGAGUAUAAGGAUACCGUCGACUUUAUGGUAGAGGCACUACCAAAAAAAUCAUAAAAAGUGGAUUGGAUGGUUGUGAUACACCAUACAUGAUUCUAAGGGGCUUACGGAAUCAUUCAAAGCUAGUAUUGAAGUUAAAAGACUUGUUUGUAUGAAAGGCUAAAAGAGAUAAUGGAAGAAAAAGGCCUAGUUAGAAGCUGUGUGGAAAGACAAUUGACAACCAAUGAGAAGAUUUUGAAGCAACGUUGUGGAGGCUUAAAAACG
RNAcentral lists this long non-coding RNA (879 nucleotides) under Helianthus annuus (common sunflower). RNAcentral's name for it is "hypothetical non coding rna". Lineage: Eukaryota; Viridiplantae; Streptophyta; Magnoliopsida; Asterales; Asteraceae. The record is from RNAcentral.